RNAcentral lists this ribosomal RNA (302 nucleotides) under uncultured bacterium. RNAcentral's name for it is "partial 16S ribosomal RNA". It matches the Rfam family "Bacterial small subunit ribosomal RNA", at positions 508 to 808 of the family's 1533-position model. The record is from RNAcentral.
GCAGCAGCCGCGGUAAUACGUAGGUGGCAAGCGUUGUCCGGAAUUAUUGGGCGUAAAGCGCGCGCAGGCGGCUUCCCAAGUCCCUCUUAAAAGUGCGGGGCUUAACCCCGUGAUGGGAAGGAAACUGGGAAGCUGGAGUAUCGGAGAGGAAAGUGGAAUUCCUAGUGUAGCGGUGAAAUGCGUAGAGAUUAGGAAGAACACCGGUGGCGAAGGCGACUUUCUGGACGAAAACUGACGCUGAGGCGCGAAAGCGUGGGGAGCAAACAGGAUUAGAUACCCGCGUAGUCCCUGUCUCUUAUACA